Molecule: ribosomal RNA, 608 nt
Filed under: Escherichia coli
Lineage: Bacteria; Pseudomonadati; Pseudomonadota; Gammaproteobacteria; Enterobacterales; Enterobacteriaceae
Description: partial 23S ribosomal RNA
Rfam family: Bacterial large subunit ribosomal RNA
Source: RNAcentral
CGAAUGCUGACAUAAGUAACGAUAAAGCGGGUGAAAAGCCCGCUCGCCGGAAGACCAAGGGUUCCUGUCCAACGUUAAUCGGGGCAGGGUGAGUCGACCCCUAAGGCGAGGCCGAAAGGCGUAGUCGAUGGGAAACAGGUUAAUAUUCCUGUACUUGGUGUUACUGCGAAGGGGGGACGGAGAAGGCUAUGUUGGCCGGGCGACGGUUGUCCCGGUUUAAGCGUGUAGGCUGGUUUUCCAGGCAAAUCCGGAAAAUCAAGGCUGAGGCGUGAUGACGAGGCACUACGGUGCUGAAGCAACAAAUGCCCUGCUUCCAGGAAAAGCCUCUAAGCAUCAGGUAACAUCAAAUCGUACCCCAAACCGACACAGGUGGUCAGGUAGAGAAUACCAAGGCGCUUGAGAGAACUCGGGUGAAGGAACUAGGCAAAAUGGUGCCGUAACUUCGGGAGAAGGCACGCUGAUAUGUAGGUGAAGUCCCUCGCGGAUGGAGCUGAAAUCAGUCGAAGAUACCAGCUGGCUGCAACUGUUUAUUAAAAACACAGCACUGUGCAAACACGAAAGUGGACGUAUACGGUGUGACGCCUGCCCGGUGCCGGAAGGUUAAUUGA